This is a long non-coding RNA of Hydra vulgaris (swiftwater hydra), 715 nucleotides long. RefSeq lists it as uncharacterized. NCBI's taxonomy places the organism in Eukaryota, Metazoa, Cnidaria, Hydrozoa, Anthoathecata, Hydridae. The record is from RefSeq and is a predicted model, not a curated record.
CUUGUUUAUAGUUUCUAAAAUUUUAUUUGUUUCAUUGAAAUUGAAAACAUAAGCGUUGAUUACUAUAAUUCUAGCUAUAGGUUGUGGGUAACCAUUACCACCCUAUUUAACAAACUUCUCAACUUAACCAAAAUUUACGAAUAGCAGCGGAAAGACUUUUUUUUCAAAAGUAGGCUCAGUUGUGGUCUUUAUCUUUAGCUUGUAGGUUAUACUUGGUGCAAAAAGCCUAAUUCAGGUUGGGGGGGGCACACGCCCCUCCCACAAGUCAAUAAGCACACCACCAAUAAAUGAAUUUCUUGUAGCAAAAAAAAUUUUUAUGUUUUUUAUACUGUAUACUAGUUUCACUUAUUUUAUUAAAUAUAGAAAUAUUUAUUUAUUUAUAAUUAGAGAAUUAAAUAUUUUUGAAAUUAGGGUGUGUUAAACCAUCACCACCAUAUCCACCACCAACUUUAAUAAACAUCAAUCAUUGAUGGUCUGUAAUAAAAUUAUAGCAAUUUUUUGUAUAAAAAAAAUAACCGUUAGUUGAAAAAAAACACUUUUUAUUGUAAGAAAUAUGCUUAUUUUUAGGGUAAAGGUGGUGGUUCGGCACCCCCUCUAGCCCCCAGGAAACGCUUAAUAGGUGGACGAUGUUAUAAAUUUGUAGCCCACAGUUACACCUAUCUUUUGAUAUUAAGUUAUAGGUAUUUAGACAAGAAUUGACAAAGUUAUAACAAUU